ACGGUGGCGGACUACGCGAGCGCUCAGGCCUCCUGCCACUGUAGCAUGACCAUGACAGGCGGGUCCCGGUCCCCGCGCCCACCUCGCGCGAAGCCCAGAGAACUCCAGAGACCCCCCUCCGCGAGCUCCAGGCACCGACGGAAAAAAUACUCACUACCUCCUUCUCCGGUGGCCACGGGCGCCAACGCCUCUCGCCUCUCGCAUUCGCCUCCUCGCGCGACGCCGCCGACCGAAUCCACGCUGCCGCCACCAGGACCGAGCCGCCACCUCCCAGCUCCACCUCCCCAUCGGAACCGAGCCGCCGCCACCCGGAUCCACCUCCCCGAUGGCGCUGCCUCCUUCUUCGCUCACUCCGUCCGCCUGCUCCUCGCCCCUCCGCCUUACCCAACCGAGGUCAGCGGCUCGCCUCCUGCUGACGCCGGUGCUGGUCCGCCGCCUCCUGGCCUCCUGGGCUGCUCGGUGUGAGGAGCGCACCGAGCGGGGCCGCGGCGAGGCCGGAGCCGAAGCUGAAGCAGCAGGAGAGCUCACGCACCGCGCCCGAGCUCGCCCGGAUCCACCUCCUCCGCCGCCGGCCAAAGCCACCGGAGCCGCGCCCCACCGGAUUCAAGGCGCCGCCAUCCGAGCCCGCGCCACACUGAGCCACCGUCACGAACUGCUGCGGCGAGUGGCAGCUACGGACUCCGCCGGUAGAAGCCAUUGAAGAUAAAUCUUUCAUGAGUUCAGCAAACUGCAUAGAGGCUAGGAAUUGCCCAAACACAUCAACAAUGUCCCUAUCCUGUACAACAUUCACUUGCAACAGCAAUGGAGAAAGUUCAGGUAUGAUUUCUCAGUUAAUUAUGAGGUAUGAACGAACUAUGUAAAUGGGUAUUGUAUUCUGAAAUCUCAGAGGAAAGCCAAAGCUCACUUUUGGCAAUGACAUCAAUGAGCUGAGUUUCAGAGUUUAGGGACCAAAUUAAUGGAGACACCGAUUGCUGACUACAUUGUUAGCCAGUUAUAGUGAGACCAAAGGAAGUGACACUAACAGUUUUAAUGGAGAUGGCAGUCUUUAAAAGAUCAGAGACUCAGAGUUGAGACAUUGCCCCUUUGAAUCAUGUUCGCUUUGCUGAAUGAGUUUGAUUUGUUGACAUAUCAUAAGGGUAUAUAGUUCAGCUGUGUAGUUAUAGAAGCAAAUUUUCUUUUCUCAACAAUAAGGAGGCAAUAAAGUUUUGUGGUUAUCAUUAAAGCAGAUUUCCUUUUAAGAAAAUAACAGGAGAGCUACUAUUUUAUGAUUAAAGCAAGAAAGUUCAGUACAGAAAGAAUGUCAAAGUUAUUAUAAUUUAUGGAAACAAAGCUAAGCUGCUAGAGAUAAUAUGAUUUAUCUACACUGAGUUUUCAGCCUCUUGCAUCUUCGAAGUUACAAUUUACAUAAUUAGUAGCUUAGCAAAAUAAAUUUGUUCUAUCAUUUUAGGUGCAAAUUGGUGCCAUGUUUACAAUUUUGUCCUGGUAUUGAAGUCUUGACGUAUUAAAUAAAAACUACAGCCACAACAUUUUAAUGAGUGUAGCUGUAAAAUAGCCUAAAAUAAGACUCAUCUUAUCCUUCAAAUUAGAACUUACAAAUCACACAAUAUUCCAGCAUUAUAUUUGUUUACAUUUGUU
This is a long non-coding RNA of Phragmites australis (common reed), 1635 nucleotides long. RefSeq lists it as uncharacterized. Lineage: Eukaryota; Viridiplantae; Streptophyta; Magnoliopsida; Poales; Poaceae. The transcript is spliced from 4 exons. The record is from RefSeq and is a predicted model, not a curated record.